Molecule: ribosomal RNA, 420 nt
Filed under: uncultured bacterium
Lineage: Bacteria
Description: bacterial SSU rRNA
Rfam family: Bacterial small subunit ribosomal RNA
Source: RNAcentral
GGGCCCGCACAAGCGGUGGAGUAUGUGGUUUAAUUCGAUGCAACGCGAAGAACCUUACCAGGGUUUGACAUCCUGCGAAUCUCUUGGAAACGAGAGAGUGCCUUCGGGAACGCAGUGACAGGUGGUGCAUGGCUGUCGUCAGUUCGUGUCGUGAGAUGUUGGGUUAAGUCCCGCAACGAGCGCAACCCACGUCGUUAGUUGCCAGCAUUUAGUUGGGCACUCUAGCGAGACCGCCGGUGAUAAACCGGAGGAAGGUGUGGAUGACGUCAAGUCAUCAUGCCCCUUACAUCCUGGGCUACACACGUACUACAAUGCUACGGACAAAGGGCAGCAAACUCGCGAGGACAAGCAAAUCUCAUAAACCGUGGCUCAGUUCAGAUCGUAGGCUGCAACUCGCCUACGUGAAGGCGGAAUCGCUAG